UGCCAGCAGCCGCGGUAAUACGGAGGGUGCAAGCGUUAAUCGGAAUUACUGGGCGUAAAGCGCGCGUAGGUGGAUGAGUGUGUUGGCUGUGAAAGCCCCGAGCUUAACUUGGGAAGGCCAGCCAAAACUGCUUGUCUAGAGUACGGUAGAGGAAAGUGGAAUUUCAGGUGUAGCGGUGAAAUGCGUAGAUAUCUGAAGGAACACCAGUGGCGAAGGCGACUUUCUGGACUGAUACUGACACUGAGGCGCGAAAGCGUGGGGAGCGAACAGGAUUAGAUA
RNAcentral lists this ribosomal RNA (279 nucleotides) under uncultured bacterium. Its description in RNAcentral is "partial 16S ribosomal RNA". It matches the Rfam family "Bacterial small subunit ribosomal RNA", at positions 506 to 784 of the family's 1533-position model. The record is from RNAcentral.